GUGCUCACUUUGGCAGCACAUAUACUAAAAUUAUAAUGGCACAGAGAAUGUUAGCAUGGCCCCUGCAUAAGAAUGAUUUUCAAAUUUGUGAAGUGUUCCAUAUUAAA
Molecule: small nuclear RNA, 107 nt
Filed under: Castor canadensis (American beaver)
Lineage: Eukaryota; Metazoa; Chordata; Mammalia; Rodentia; Castoridae
Source: RNAcentral